AUGGAGGCAUGGGAAGGUGCCGGUGGUGGAGAACUGCUGAAGAAACUGCAUGGGAUCGUGAGAACGAGGAUGGCAGAAGAUUCCCUGGGGAAGCGAGGAACAGCCCAUGCACAGGAGCACCUGAAUCCAGGCCAUAGUGAGGAUGCAGCAUUAAUAAGGCAAAAUCAGGUCCAGUCUGAUUUACCAGCCAUUAACAUCAUUAACAUACACACCAGCACAUCAGACUGCUUUUCACCAGAUCCUGAGUAGAUGAAGCAUAGGUCAAUGAAGAAAUGGAGCCCUUGCCUCUUGGAGAAGUUUGACAAUUUUGCGUUACAGUAGUUGAAGUAAAUUAGUCUUUUCCAGCCAGUAAUGUCUUCGCAAUUUUCUUAAAACCUUCCAUUUAAAAAAUGCUUUUCAAAUUACCAUGCAGGCUUCAUAGAACAAUUAUAAGUGCACAAACAAACCCCAUCGCACUGCUGUGCUAAUUACCCUCCAGGCUCCUGAUCUUUCAGGUUGCCUUCGUGUUGCAAUGGAGACUUAGAAGUGAGUUCCUGCUCCAUGUGCUGUGGGAAACAGUAGGUUACACACACAGAAGUAAUUUCCUUGUCCGUAGCCAAUUCUGUCCUCAUGGCAGCAAGGUUUUAGAAGUUUCCCAGAUGACAACAACAAGAAAAACAACAAGAAAAAAUCUACUUUUUCUGUGGAAAAUAGAUUUAUUUUUAUAAGCGAUUAUGAGAUUUACUAUUAGCCUAUAUAGCAUUGAUGCCAAUAAGGACUCCCACUGAAACUUCAGCGUGAGUUUGAUGGGAAAAAUGCAUCCUUUUCAUAAAGAUUAAAGUAAAAAUCUACAUGGAGCACUGAGCUUGGAAAGGAUGAAUGGUUAUUUCAGUGCUAGAGACUGUUUUGUCCAGAGGUGAAGCUGAAACAAAUCCUGCACUAAACUGAUGCUAUGGGAUAAACCUGACUGCUCCUUUCUUUUCAGUUGGAAAAAAAAAAGUGUGACUUCUUGAUAUGUGCCUUGACAUAUGUUGAUUUAGAAAUAUUUUAAGAAGUUAAUAUUCUUGAUUAUUUUGUUCACACCACAUUUCAACACCUUUGAUUCCUAUUACAUUGCUGCAUUCAUCACUUCUCUGUCUGUGCAUUCCAUGGGCAAAUUGGGCUGUAAAUACAUUAACAGUGCAUGCAGCCCUGUCUGUGCUCAUGGAUUGCUCCUCCGUUUACACAUUCAGUAAAAAGCAGAAAAGACAUCUACUUUUCAGUAUCCUUCAUAAAUCGUUUUUACUUACUUGUAAACCUGCUGCAGAAUAAAGGAUAACAACUCUAUUACA
This 1310-nucleotide long non-coding RNA is filed under the name Anser cygnoides (Swan goose). Its description in RNAcentral is "lncRNA (ENSACDG00005015642.1)". Lineage: Eukaryota; Metazoa; Chordata; Aves; Anseriformes; Anatidae. The record is from RNAcentral.